Molecule: non-coding RNA, 307 nt
Organism: Pocillopora verrucosa
Lineage: Eukaryota; Metazoa; Cnidaria; Anthozoa; Scleractinia; Pocilloporidae
Source: RefSeq, a predicted model, not a curated record
GACCCGAAACAACACAACUUUCACUAUUUUUAACGACGUAUUCGCUUUCUUGUUAUUUCGAAGCUAUUUCGCUAUCACGUUUGGUCUCUUAACUUCUGCCACUUUUUUUGAAAACAGGUUUUACAGUCAGCUGGUGAUCAAUUAAAAGAUGGAAGCUUCUUCAGGGAAAAAAGUUGGGGAGAAUCCUCAAAAUGAAAUAAGUCAUGGAGCUUCAACCAAAAGUUACUGUCAUCAGCUUCCACAACCAACUGUUGAUACGGGUAACAAUCAUGAUACAGAUAGUGACCAGGGGACAGAGUUGGCUGAA